UGUGUCUGUGUGUGCACGUGUCUCUAUGUGUGGGUGUGUGCGGUGUGAGUGUAUGUGUGUGAGCAGGACUGAACACAUGUGAGUGUGAGUGUGUGUGUGUGUGUGAGUGUGUAAGGCAGGUCUUUGGUCUGACCUCUGCUCACUGUUUAUGACACCCUCGCAGCUUGGAUGUUAGCAGUCAGGUUUCUUCUGUUACCGCCCAAGCUCAGAGACAUGGCUCUCACGAUGGUGUCUCACUGAAUAUGCUUCUGUCCUGGGUGGAACCCCCUCCCCGUCUCAGGGAAGACUCCUCCAGUGCACCCCAUCCUUGGUGAAGUGGUAAAUUUUAAGUCACGUGUAUUUUGCUCCAAGCAGAAGGAAACAUGUCGAGUUGCCCUUACUCUCCAAGCACAGCUAAAGCAUUCCUGCCCCUUUUCAACCGUUGCUAUGGAAAUUGACCCUUGUGUGAAACCUCGUGGGCAAUGUACCCCACACACAAAGUGCCGCAGAGGAGUGCUGGCCAACUCAGGCAGUCACAAGUUGCUCCUAGACGCCGCACCACUGGCCCUCCUGAACUGCAGGCCACGCAGGGGCACUCUGGAGACUCCACAGAAAGGAGGCCCUGGAGGCCCCCGAUGCCCUCGCUGCUGUCAGCAGCCCCCACCCCAGCAGUGCUGAGCGCCUGGCGUCCCUCCCACAUGGAGGGUUGUGCCUCCGGAGGUCGCAAGGACCUCAAGGACACACACCCUGGUCUCAGCAGACAGCUGGGCCACUGUGGUCCGCGGAGAAAAAUGGCGAAAUUCGAGAUUCAGCAGGAGGAGGCCAGAAGGAGACGGGAGCGUUGAUGAAGAGCACCCACGUGAGGACUCGGCAGCCCGCACCCGACCACUCGCCUGUUUCAUCUCCUGUCUUCAAAGAGGCGCCAGGACGUGGGAGAGGAUGAAAGGGAAAGUGAUGAAAGAAAAUGGCACCACAGAGGCUUGAAGGGCUGAGACGGCGGAGGGGAGGCUGGGAGCCGGCUGGUGGCAGCCUGCAAGUCAGCUGCUCCCGUCUCAGGGACCCCACGCUCUCCUCCGCGCUCUGGAAGACAUGGCUCUAAAGAAGGGGGUGUGGCCCUGAUCCGGGUCUUCCCAGUGCACAAGCAGCUCUAGAGUCCCCAUCUCUGCACCUGCUGGGAAUCAGGGGCAGACAGGAGCGUGCAGGGCCCAGCCUCCCUCCUCACUCCUGGGCACUCAGACAAAAAGGCCUGUGUGUGUCCAAAGGGACAGGUGAAGGCCCACGAGGGCCCCUGAGCUGUGGACAUGGUCCUGCACCAUCAUGGAGAUGCGGGUUUAGCUGUGACAGCUUGUGAAUGGGCUGGAGUUCCCCUUGGCCCAGACCAGGGAGUCCCAGAGGAAACCUAUGCAGCUGUUCCCUGAUCUCCCGCCUCCUGCGGAGUCUUGUUUGCUCCCUGCAGGACAUUUGCACACUCUUUUCACACUGAGGCCAGGGAAGGUCUAAAGUCACAAGAGCUGGUUCCCAGACCAGGCUUCUGGCUCCAAGUUCCAGAACCUUCCACAAGUACACACUGACUGUUCCUCAUCAGUUCAGUCCAUCUGUCCUGACACGGCAGUGAGUCCAGCUGGGGCUGAGGAGUGAAGACAGUUUAAGGUGACUCAGAGAAACUCACUCCUCAGUGAAGACCUGUCCAGACGACAAACGGCUUUGGAACAACUUAGACGUGGAGGUGUGGGUAUUCUCGGGGGCCUUUCUCCUGCAAGUCCCAGUGUGGUCUUCUACCAUUGUGUGGAAAUAUGACGAGUGGUCACCUUGCAUCCUGUGCUUUUGGGGUACACUUUUCAAGUUUCUGUGUUCAAACAUUUUGAAAAUCAGAAGUGAUCACGUGUCCUGAGUUUCAGUUUGAAAGCCACAGUGUGCAAUAGUCACUUCCCUCAGAUUUCUACUGUGGAAAACAAAGCACGUAACCCUCAAGGUCAGGGACAAAAGCAAAGGCCCCCACCCAGACCCUGACCACAGCUGAGGGCCACAUACCUCUCCCUCCUGCUCAGACAGCCCUGGCUCAAACGUCCUUGAGACACCUCCACAGGUUCAAGACUGAGCAGGGAAGUGGACCCCCAUAGGCCAGAGCAUGUAGAAGCCAAUGCUGAGCCAAGUGUCCCCAGACCUCGAGGCAGAGACUACAGCAGGUGCUAGUGCUGCAUCUUCAGGAAGCACCGGGGCCAGGGUGGCCAAACUAGAAGAUGGUAGAAGAGAGAAAUUCCUAGAGUGGGGCUGAGGGCCUUCCUCCAGGCAAACCCCUCCGUCCCCAGGGUGCAGCUGGCUCUGUUCUACAGGGCCAGUGACACUUAUGACAAGCCCCUGCUGCCACCUCCCUCAGGAGAAGCCACCGGCUGUCCAAGGCCAAGACAGCAUGGCACCCCUCCUGUCUCCCUGGGUUUCUGUGACUGCACAGCGGGCAUCCUGUACUGCUGAACCCCUGUGCUGGGGCAGGAGGCACUGCCAGGGUCCCAACAGGCCCUGUGCAUCACAAGACCUGGGCCCCAGGUUCUGCUCCCUCGGGUGUUGGCUGAGGGUCCUCCUGCUUCAGAUGCAGCCAUGUCUGGGUCCCCCUCAGUUGGGCUGCAGAAGGGGUGGACAGCAGGGCAGGGAGGGGGGAACAGUUUACCCCCUGAACAACUCCUGCACCUCCAGAUACUCAAAGAACAGCUUCUGAAUCAAGUUUAAAAACAGCUGCUCUUCUGAUGAUUUAAGUGAUGUCCUGAGUAUUUGCCUUGAGUGCACAGAGGGCCUGGGUGGGCUGGGACUUUGCCCAGGCAGGACCCUGGGAGACAAGGCUGCUGCACUCCCAGGAGGAGGUGUGCUUUGCCUCUCAUCUCAUGUGAGGAGAAUCCAGGAGGUUUGGCAAUGUUGGCAGUGUCUGUAAAUGUUUGCAACAUCAUGUGACAAGGCCAGUUCAGGUGUCUACAAACUGCUGUGGCCCGAGCCCCCUGUGAUUGCCAUGCAGAACCUCGUUAAUCCUGCCACAGGUUGAGAUGUGUCCUCUGUAAGCCAACCAGACAUACAACCUGGAGUUGUUUCUAUCAUCAGAAGAUCAUUUUAACUAUAAUCCAUCAGGAUACAUUUUGAAAACUGGCCUCUGAUGAAGGAUUGGAUGGUAAUGCAGUGCCUGCUUUGAUCUGGAUAAAAUUUAACUUGCCUUAAUAAUCUUUUUCAAUUCCCAUCAAUGUUUCUCUGAGAAUGUUCUGUCUACUGUGAGUGUUGUUGAAACAUAAAACAGAAUUCACUGAGGCUGACAUUUCCCCCUCUGCUCAACUGGGCCAAGAAGCAUCUCAUUUGUUGCAUUAAAAAUAUUAAAAAUGGUUUCAAUAUGCAUUUCCCUGAUUGCUAGACAUAUUGAACAUUUUUUAGUGUAUUUGUUGGCCAAUUAUAUUUCUUCUUUUCAGAAGUAUCUGUUUAGUUCUUU
This 3442-nucleotide long non-coding RNA is filed under the name Marmota monax (woodchuck). The record is from RNAcentral. Lineage: Eukaryota; Metazoa; Chordata; Mammalia; Rodentia; Sciuridae.